This 447-nucleotide ribosomal RNA is filed under the name uncultured bacterium. RNAcentral describes it as "bacterial SSU rRNA". It matches the Rfam family "Bacterial small subunit ribosomal RNA", at positions 355 to 825 of the family's 1533-position model. The record is from RNAcentral.
UCGGGAAUUUUGGGCAAUGGGGGAAACCCUGACCCAGCAACGCCGCGUGAAGGAUGAAGUAUUUCGGUAUGUAAACUUCGAAAGAAUAGGAAGAAUAAAUGACGGUACUAUUUAUAAGGUCCGGCUAACUACGUGCCAGCAGCCGCGGUAAUACGUAGGGACCAAGCGUUAUUCGGAUUUACUGGGCGUAAAGGGCGCGUAGGCGGCAAUUCAAGUCAUCUGUGAAAUCUCCGGGCUUAACUCGGAACGGUCAGAUGAUACUGCUUUGCUAGAGUGCAGAAGGGGCAAUCGGAAUUCUUGGUGUAGCGGUGAAAUGCGUAGAUAUCAAGAGGAACACCUGAGGUGAAGACGGGUUGCUGGGCUGACACUGACGCUGAGGCGCGAAAGCCAGGGGAGCAAACGGGAUUAGAUACCCCGGUAGUCCCUGAGCGGGCUGGCAAGGCGCAU